GGAUCAUUACUGAGUUACGCUCUAUAACCCUUUGUGAACAUACCUAUAACUGUUGCUUCGGCGGGUAGGGUCUCCGCGACCCUCCCGGCCUCCCGCCUCCGGGCGGGUCGGCGCCCGCCGGAGGAUAACCAAACUCUGAUUUAACGACGUUUCUUCUGAGUGGUACAAGCAAAUAAUCAAAACUUUUAACAACGGAUCUCUUGGUUCUGGCAUCGAUGAAGAACGCAGCGAAAUGCGAUAAGUAAUGUGAAUUGCAGAAUUCAGUGAAUCAUCGAAUCUUUGAACGCACAUUGCGCCCGCCAGCAUUCUGGCGGGCAUGCCUGUUCGAGCGUCAUUUCAACCCUCAAGCUCUGCUUGGUGUUGGGGCCCUACAGCUGAUGUAGGCCCUCAAAGGUAGUGGCGGACCCUCCCGGAGCCUCCUUUGCGUAGUAACUUUACGUCUCGCACUGGGAUCCGGAGGGACUCUUGCCGUAAAACCCCCCAAUUUUCCAAAGGUUGACCUCGGAUCAGGUAGGAAUACCCGCUGAACUUAAGCAUAUCAAUAAGCGGAGGAAAAGAAACCAACAGGGAUUGCCUCAGUAACGGCGAGUGAAGCGGCAACAGCUCAAAUUUGAAAUCUGGCCCUAGGCCCGAGUUGUAAUUUGCAGAGGAUGCUUUUGGUGCGGUGCCUUCCAAGUUCCCUAGAACGGGACGCCAGAGAGGGUGAGAGCCCCGUACAGUUGGACACCAAGCCUUUGUAAAGCUCCUUCGACGAGUCGAGUAGUUUGGGAAUGCUGCUCAAAAUGGGAGGUAUAUUUCUUCUAAAGCUAAAUACCGGCCAGAGACCGAUAGCGCACAAGUAGAGUGAUCGAAAGAUGAAAAGCACUUUGAAAAGAGGGUUAAACAGCACGUGAAAUUGUUAAAAGGGAAGCGCUUGUGACCAGACUUGCGUCCGGUGAAUCACCCAGCUCUCGCGGCUGGGGCACUUCGCCGGCUCAGGCCAGCAUCAGCUCGCUGUCGGGGACAAAAGCUUCAGGAACGUAGCUCUCUUCGGGGAGUGUUAUAGCCUGUUGCACAAUACCCUUCGGCGGGC
Molecule: ribosomal RNA, 1072 nt
Filed under: fungal endophyte
Lineage: Eukaryota; Fungi
Description: eukaryotic LSU rRNA
Rfam family: Eukaryotic large subunit ribosomal RNA (bases 497-1072)
Source: RNAcentral